RNAcentral lists this long non-coding RNA (838 nucleotides) under Mytilus galloprovincialis (Mediterranean mussel). The record is from RNAcentral. Lineage: Eukaryota; Metazoa; Mollusca; Bivalvia; Mytilida; Mytilidae.
GGUCUUUGCAUCGGAACUAAACACAUUUAUUCAAAAACCAGUUGUUGGCAUGACACGGGUUAUGUUCUUCUUAUAUAUGUUAUGAUGGUAUGAUACUAAACCCCUAACGGGAAGGAUUGUGCCUGAUGUUCAUAUGAUGAAAUCAUAAUCUUUCAGUCAGUUUAAUUGAAGUCUGGAGCUGGCAUGUCAGUUAACUGCUAGUAGUCUGUUGUUAUUUAUGUAUUAUUGUCAUUUUGUUUAUUUUCUUUGGUUACAUCUCCUGACAUCAGACUCGGACUUCUCUUGAACUGAAUUUUAAUGUGCGUAUUGUUAUGCGUUUACUUUUCUACAUUGGCUAGAGGUAUAGGGGGAGGGUUGAGAUCUCACAAACAUGUUUAACCCCGCCGCAUUUUUGCGCCUGUCCCAAGUCAGGAGCCUCUGGCCUUUGUUAGUCUUGUAUUAUUUUAAUUUUAGUUUCUUGUGUACAAUUUUGAAAUUAGUAUGGCGUUCAUUAUCACUGAACUAGUAUAUAUUUGUUUAGGGCCAGUUGAAGGACGCCUCCGGGUGCGGGAAUUUCUCGCUACAUUGAAGACCUGUUGGUGACCUUCUGCUGUUGUUUUUUUCUAUGGUCGGGUUGUUGUCUCUUUGGCACAUUCCCCAUUUCCAUUCUCAAUUUUAUGACAUAUCAUAUGAUAGUCAUAAGAUGAUCAUAAAAUAUGUCCUGUCCUAAGAUAUAUCUUAUGACAUAUCUUAUGAUACUUUCGAAAACCAGGCCCCUGCUUCCUUUGAUAACUAAUUAUAUAAGUUUGGGUAAGAAGUUAUCCUACUAAACACCUUGACUUGAAUAUUUGGGACACAA